RNAcentral lists this ribosomal RNA (497 nucleotides) under uncultured bacterium. RNAcentral describes it as "partial 16S ribosomal RNA". It matches the Rfam family "Bacterial small subunit ribosomal RNA", at positions 28 to 507 of the family's 1533-position model. The record is from RNAcentral.
GACGAACGCUGGCGGCGUGCCUAAUACAUGCAAGUUGAGCGCUGAAGGUUGGUACUUGUACCAACUGGAUGAGCAGCGAACGGGUGAGUAACGCGUGGGGAAUCUGCCUUUGAGCGGGGGACAACAUUUGGAAACGAAUGCUAAUACCGCAUAAAAACUUUAAACACAAGUUUUAAGUUUGAAAGAUGCAAUUGCAUCACUCAAAGAUGAUCCCGCGUUGUAUUAGCUAGUUGGUGAGGUAAAGGCUCACCAAGGCGAUGAUACAUAGCCGACCUGAGAGGGUGAUCGGCCACAUUGGGACUGGGACACGGCCCAAACUCCUACGGGAGGCAGAAGUAGGGAAUCUUCGGCAAUGGAAGAAAGGCUGACCGAGCAACGCCGCGUGAGGGAAGAAGGGUGUCGGAUCGUAAAACUCGGUUGGUAGAGAAGAACGUUGGUGAGAGUGGAAAGCUCAUCAAGUGACGGUAACUACCCAGAAAGGGACGGCUAACUACGUG